This 253-nucleotide ribosomal RNA is filed under the name uncultured bacterium. RNAcentral describes it as "partial 16S ribosomal RNA". It matches the Rfam family "Bacterial small subunit ribosomal RNA", at positions 524 to 776 of the family's 1533-position model. The record is from RNAcentral.
UACAGAGGGGGCAAGCGUUGUUCGGAAUUACUGGGCGUAAAGCGCGUGUAGGCGGGCUGAUAAGUCGGACGUGAAAUCCCUGGGCUCAACCCAGGAACUGCAUCCGAAACUGUCAGUCUGGAGUGGUGGAGAGGGAAGCAGAAUUCCUGGUGUAGAGGUGAAAUUCGUAGAUAUCAGGAGGAACACCGGUGGCGAAGGCGGCUUCCUGGACACUAACUGACGCUGAGACGCGAAAGCGUGGGGAGCAAACAGG